Molecule: transfer RNA, 73 nt
Filed under: Bos taurus (domestic cattle)
Lineage: Eukaryota; Metazoa; Chordata; Mammalia; Artiodactyla; Bovidae
Also listed under: 5 other names
Rfam family: tRNA
About the family: Transfer RNA (tRNA) molecules are approximately 80 nucleotides in length. Their secondary structure includes four short double-helical elements and three loops (D, anti-codon, and T loops).
Source: Rfam by way of RNAcentral
UCCCUAGUGGUUCAGUGGUUAAGACUCCACACUCCCAAUGCGGGGGGCCUGGGUUCGAUCCCUGGUCAGGGAA